UGGGGAAUAUUGCACAAUGGGGGAAACCCUGAUGCAGCGACGCCGCGUGAACGAAGAAGGUAUUCGUAUCGUAAAGUUCUGUCCUAUGGGAAGAUAAUGACAGUACCAUAGAAGAAAGCUCCGGCUAAAUACGUGCCAGCAGCCGCGGUAAUACGUAUGGAGCGAGCGUUGUCCGGAAUUAUUGGGCGUAAAGGGUACGCAGGCGGUUUAAUAAGUCGAAUGUUAAAGAUCGGGGCUCAACCCCGUAAAGCAUUGGAAACUGAUAAACUUGAGUAGUGGAGAGGAAAGUGGAAUUCCUGGUGUAGUGGUGAAAUACGUAGAUAGUAGGAGGAAUACCAGUAGCGAAGGCGGCGUUCGGGACACAAACUGACGCUGAGGUACGAAAGCGUGGGGAGCAAACAGG
Molecule: ribosomal RNA, 403 nt
Filed under: bacterium
Lineage: Bacteria
Description: partial 16S ribosomal RNA
Rfam family: Bacterial small subunit ribosomal RNA
Source: RNAcentral